GAUGAAGAACGUAGCGAAAUGCGAUAAGUAAUGUGAAUUGCAGAAUUCAGUGAAUCAUCGAGUCUUUGAACGCACAUUGCGCCCCCUGGUAUUCCGGGGGGCAUGCCUGUCCGAGCGUCAUUGCCGCCCUCAAGCACGGCUUGUGUGUUGGGCCCCCGCCCCCCGGCUUCGGGGGGCGGGCCCGAAAGGCAGCGGCGGCACCGCGUCCGGUCCUCGAGCGUAUGGGGCUUCGUCACCCGCUCUGUAGGCCCGGCCGGCGCCCGCCGGCGACCCCAAUCAAUCUUUUCAGGUUGACCUCGGAUCAGGUAGGGAUACCCGCUGAACUUAAGCAUAUCAAUAAGCGGAGGA
Molecule: unclassified non-coding RNA, 348 nt
Filed under: soil metagenome
Description: partial contains 5.8S ribosomal RNA, internal transcribed spacer 2, and large subunit ribosomal RNA
Rfam family: 5.8S ribosomal RNA (bases 1-120)
Source: RNAcentral